Molecule: ribosomal RNA, 1453 nt
Filed under: Staphylococcus aureus
Lineage: Bacteria; Bacillati; Bacillota; Bacilli; Caryophanales; Staphylococcaceae
Description: bacterial SSU rRNA
Rfam family: Bacterial small subunit ribosomal RNA
Source: RNAcentral
UGGAUGGACCAAAUCUUAGCUCAUCGAGCGAACGGACGAGAAGCUUGCUUCUCUGAUGUUAGCGGCGGACGGGUGAGUAACACGUGGAUAACCUACCUAUAAGACUGGGAUAACUUCGGGAAACCGGAGCUAAUACCGGAUAAUAUUUUGAACCGCAUGGUUCAAAAGUGAAAGACGGUCUUGCUGUCACUUAUAGAUGGAUCCGCGCUGCAUUAGCUAGUUGGUAAGGUAACGGCUUACCAAGGCAACGAUGCAUAGCCGACCUGAGAGGGUGAUUUCGGUYCACACCUKGAACUGAGACACSGUYCAGACUYCUACGGGARGCAGCAGUAGGGAAUCUUCCGCMAUGGGCGAAAGCCUGACGGAGCAACGCCGCGUGAGUGAUGAAAGGUCUUCGGAUCGUAAAACUCUGUUAUUAGGGAAGAACAUAUGUGUAAGUAACUGUGCACAUCUUGACGGUACCUAAUCAGAAAGCCACGGCUAACUACGUGCCAGCAGCCGCGGUAAUACGUAGGUGGCAAGCGUUAUCCGGAAUUAUUGGGCGUAAAGCGCGCGUAGGCGGUUUUUUAAGUCUGAUGUGAAAGCCCACGGCUCAACCGUGGAGGGUCAUUGGAAACUGGAAAACUUGAGUGCAGAAGAGGAAAGUGGAAUUCCAUGUGUAGCGGUGAAAUGCGCAGAGAUAUGGAGGAACACCAGUGGCGAAGGCGACUUUCUGGUCUGUAACUGACGCUGAUGUGCGAAAGCGUGGGGAUCAAACAGGAUUAGAUACCCUGGUAGUCCACGCCGUAAACGAUGAGUGCUAAGUGUUAGGGGGUUUCCGCCCCUUAGUGCUGCAGCUAACGCAUUAAGCACUCCGCCUGGGGAGUACGACCGCAAGGUUGAAACUCAAAGGAAUUGACGGGGACCCGCACAAGCGGUGGAGCAUGUGGUUUAAUUCGAAGCAACGCGAAGAACCUUACCAAAUCUUGACAUCCUUUGACAACUCUAGAGAUAGAGCCUUCCCCUUCGGGGGACAAAGUGACAGGUGGUGCAUGGUUGUCGUCAGCUCGUGUCGUGAGAUGUUGGGUUAAGUCCCGCAACGAGCGCAACCCUUAAGCUUAGUUGCCAUCAUUAAGKUGGGCACUCUAAGUUGACUGCCGGUGACAAACCGGAGGAAGGUGGGGAUGACGUCAAAUCAUCAUGACCCCWUAUGAUUUGGGCUACACACGUGCUACAAUGGACAAUACAAAGGGCAGCGAAACCGCGAGGUCAAGCAAAUCCCAUAAAGUUGUUCUCAGUUCGGAUUGUAGUCUGCAACUCGACUACAUGAAGCUGGAAUCGCUAGUAAUCGUAGAUCAGCAUGCUACGGUGAAUACGUUCCCGGGUCUUGUACACACCGCCCGUCACACCACGAGAGUUUGUAACACCCGAAGCCGGUGGAGUAACCUUUUAGGAGCUAGCCGUCGAAUUGGUG